Molecule: long non-coding RNA, 796 nt
Organism: Solea senegalensis (Senegalese sole)
Lineage: Eukaryota; Metazoa; Chordata; Actinopteri; Pleuronectiformes; Soleidae
Exons: 3
Source: RefSeq, a predicted model, not a curated record
AAUAACACUAAACAACGUGUUAUACUUACACAAUGACGGAGGAAAAGAUACGAAUGGAUACAGUGUCUACAAAUGCCACCUUGACUGAGUGCAAAGCAGCUAUUAUCACUGUGGCUUUUGCACAAAAGUCUUUGUGAAAAAUGUUGUGUCCGUCAGUUUAAAACCUGCUGCAAGACAGCAACCACAAAUAUUACUGCAACUUUGGCAUCCAUGGUGACUCCAGCGUCAUGAAUGAAUGAAUACCCAAACAAAACACCUAGAAUAUAUUGAUAGAAAAUCAUCAGAGGCAACAUUGUGUAUCCCUGGGCAAAGAAGGACGACAGGGUCUUCAUUCUUUUUGAAGAUGAUGACCAAGUGGACCAGGUGAUGCGCUUCUUGUCUGGAGUCUUUGAAAGUCCACAGAUAGAUAAGAAGUCUUCAGAUCCUGUGGUUUCAAUCAUACAGAGCUGUACUCUCCAUCUCCCUGGACAAAGACAAAGACAUGUACACAUGUGGAACUGAGAUUGACUCCAGGUUAACCGGAUAGUUUAGGAAACUGUUAAUCCAAUUUUCACAACAGUUUAUGUAUGUGAGUGUCAUUAAUGACUUAUUUAUUUAAUUAAAAUUAUUAUUUUAUUUAUAAUGAAUUAUUUUGUUGUAUCAUGUUGUCUUAUCAGCGAGAUAACACAGCUUGGAGAACAGCUUCAGAGCCACAUGUCCAAGGAAGCGAGGCUCAAACAGGAAAGCCUUAGAGAGUGAGGACUUUGUCAGGUGCCUGUAAUCCCGGACAACGUUUUGAAAAAUGUAAAUAGUUAAU